This 253-nucleotide ribosomal RNA is filed under the name uncultured bacterium. RNAcentral describes it as "partial 16S ribosomal RNA". It matches the Rfam family "Bacterial small subunit ribosomal RNA", at positions 524 to 776 of the family's 1533-position model. The record is from RNAcentral.
UACGUAUGGUGCAAGCGUUAUCCGGAUUUACUGGGCGUAAAGGGAGCGUAGACGGAGGUGCAAGUCUGAAGUGAAAGCCCGGGGCCCAACCCCGGGACUGCUUUGGAAACUGUCCGUCUGGAGUGCCGGAGAGGUAAGCGGAAUUCCCAGUGUAGCGGUGAAAUGCGUAGAUAUUGGGAGGAACACCAGUGGCGAAGGCGGCUUACUGGACGGUCGCUGACGUUGAGGCUCGAAAGCGUGGGGAGCAAACAGG